CACUCCUGCGGGAGGCAGCAGUGGGGAAUUUUGGACAAUGGGCGAAAGCCUGAUCCAGCAAUGCCGCGUGUGUGAAGAAGGCCUUCGGGUUGUAAAGCACUUUUGUCCGGAAAGAAAUCCUUGGCUCUAAUACAGUCGGGGGAUGACGGUACCGGAAGAAUAAGCACCGGCUAACUACGUGCCAGCAGCCGCGGUAAUACGUAGGGUGCGAGCGUUAAUCGGAAUUACUGGGCGUAAAGCGUGCGCAGGCGGUUUGCUAAGACCGAUGUGAAAUCCCCGGGCUCAACCUGGGAACUGCAUUGGUGACUGGGAGGCUAGAGUAUGGCAGAGGGGGGUAGAAUUCCACGUGUAGCAGUGAAAUGCGUAGAGAUGUGGAGGAAUACCGAUGGCGAAGGCAGCCCCCUGGGCCAAUACUGACGCUCAUGCACGAAAGCGGGGGGAGCAAACAGGAUUAGAAACCCGAGUAGUCCC
Molecule: ribosomal RNA, 471 nt
Filed under: uncultured organism
Description: partial 16S ribosomal RNA
Rfam family: Bacterial small subunit ribosomal RNA
Source: RNAcentral